UUGACCUCGGAUCAGGUAGGACUACCCGCUGAACUUAAGCAUAUCAAUAAGCGGAGGAAAAGAAACCAACAGGGAUUGCCCCAGUAACGGCGAGUGAAGCGGCAACAGCUCAAAUUUGAAAUCUGGCCUUCGGGUCCGAGUUGUAAUUUGGAGAGGAUGCUUUUGGCGCGGCGCCGUCCGAGUUCCUUGGAACAGGACGCCAUAGAGGGUGAGAGCCCCGUACGGGCGGCCGCCUAGCCCUCUGUAAAGCUCCUUCGACGAGUCGAGUAGUUUGGGAAUGCUGCUCAAAAUGGGAAGGUAAAUUUCUUCUUAAAGCUAAAAUACUGGGCCAGAAGAACCGAAUAGCGCACAAAU
Molecule: ribosomal RNA, 354 nt
Filed under: Ophiostoma minus
Lineage: Eukaryota; Fungi; Ascomycota; Sordariomycetes; Ophiostomatales; Ophiostomataceae
Description: eukaryotic LSU rRNA
Rfam family: Eukaryotic large subunit ribosomal RNA
Source: RNAcentral